Molecule: ribosomal RNA, 624 nt
Filed under: uncultured bacterium
Lineage: Bacteria
Description: bacterial SSU rRNA
Rfam family: Bacterial small subunit ribosomal RNA
Source: RNAcentral
GUUGGUGGGGUAAAUGCCUACCAAGGCUAAGACGGGUAGCCGGCCUGAGAGGGUGAACGGCCACACUGGGACUGAGACACGGCCCAGACUCCUACGGGAGGCAGCAGUGAGGAAUUUUCCGCAAUGGGCGCAAGCCUGACGGAGCGACGCCGCGUGAGGGAUGACAGCUUUCGGGUUGUAAACCUCUUUUAUUAAGGAAAAAGAUCUAUAUGCUAAUAUCAUGUAGAUUUGAUGGUACUUAUUGAAUAAGCCCCGGCUAACUACGUGCCAGCAGCCGCGGUAAUACGUAGGGGGCGAGCGUUGUCCAGAGUUACUGGGCGUAAAGAGCGUGUAGGCGGUUGAAAAAGUCAGGUGUGAAAUUCUUCGGCUCAACCGAGGGACUGCGCUUGAAACUUUUCGACUGGAGUUUGGGAGGGGCAACCGGAAUUCCUGGUGUAACGGUGAAAUGUGUAGAUAUCAGGAGGAACACCCGUGGCGAAGGCGGGUUGCUGGACCAAAACUGACGCUGAGACGCGAAAGCGUGGGUAGCAAACAGGAUUAGAUACCCUGGUAGUCCACGCUGUAAACGAUGAGUGCUAGGUGUAGGGGGUAUCGACUCCUUCUGUGCCGCAGCUAACGCAUUAA